UCAAGCUAAUAAGAGCGCAAGGGGAAUGCCUUGGCAUCAGGAGCCGAUGAAGGACGCGAUAAGCUGCGAUAAGCUUCGGGGAGCUGCAAAUGAGCUACGAUCCGGAGAUUUCCGAAUGGGGAAACCCACCGCAAGGUAUCCUAUACUGAAUCAAAUAGGUAUAGGAGGGGAACCGCCUGAACUGAAACAUCUAAGUAGGGCGAGGAAAAGACAUCAACCGAGAUUCCGCGAGUAGUGGCGAGCGAAAGCGGAGGAGGCCAAACCGAAGGUAGCAAUAUCUUCGGGGUUACGGACAGCAUCAUCUGAAACAAUUCCUAGUUGAACGGCAUGGGAAGGCCGGCCACAGAGUGUGACAGCCACGUAAACGAAAGGGAUUGCGAAGUAGCUGGAUCCAGAGUACCGCGGGACACGAGGAAUCCCGUGGGAAGUCGGGGGGACCACCCUCCAAGCCUAAAUACUACCUGAUGACCGAUAGAGGAGCAGUACCGUGAGGGAAAGGUGAAAAGAACCCCGGGAGGGGAGUGAAAUAGUACCUGAAACCUUGUGCUUACAAGCAGACAUAGCUCGUUAAUGAGUGGUGUCGUACUUUUUGUAGAACGGUCCGGCGAGUUAUAGUAACUGGCGAGCUUAAGGUAUUGAGUACCGGAGGCGCAGGGAAACCGAGUGUUAAGAGCGCGUAUAAAGUCAGUUGCCAUAGACCCGAAACCAGGUGACCUAGCCAUGCCCAGGCUGAAGUGGAGGUAAAGCUCCAUGGAGGGCCGAACCCACGUUCGUUGCAAUGACCGGGGAUGAGGUGUGGCUAGCGGUGAAAUUCCAAACGAACUUGGAGAUAGCUGGUUCUCCCCGAAAUAGUUUUAGGACUAGCGUUGGAUAUGAGUUUAACGGCGGUAAAGCACUGAAUGGGCUAGGGGGCGAUAAGCUUACUGAACCCUAUCAAACUAAGAAUGCCGUAUAAAUGCUUACCAGCAGUCAGACUGCGAGUAAUAAAAUCCGUAGUCAAAAGGGAAACAGCCCAGAUCUACAGCUAAGGUCCCUAAUACAUGCUAAGUGGAAAACGAUGUGAGAUUGCGAAAACAACCAGGAUGUUGGCUUAGAGGCAGCCACUCGUUCAAAGAGUGCGUAAUAGCUCACUGGUCGAGUGAUCUUGCGCGGAAAAUUUAACGGGGCUAAGCAUGUAACCGAAGCUUAGGGUUUACGCUUUGCGUAAGCGGUAGGGGAGCGUCGAAUGCGGGGUGAAGUCAUACCGUAAGGAAUGGUGGACUGCAUUCGAGUGAGAAUGCCGGAAUGAGUAGCGAGAAUUAUGUGGGAAUCAUAAUGGCCGAAAAUCUAAGGUUUCCUGGGGAAGGUUCGUCCGCCCAGGGUAAGCCGGGAGCUAAGGCGAGGCCGAAAGGCGUAGUCGAUGCACAUACGGUAGAAAUUCCGUAGCCGGUUCAAUUGUUAAUCACAGUGACACAUGAGUGUAGCUCUACCGGGCGUUGGUUGCCCCGGGCGUAAGCGAGCCGAGUGAGGCGAAGUGAGUAAAGCUUGUGGCGAGAAAAGCUGUGUGUAUUGGUUGAACUGCCCGUACCGCAAACCGACACAGGUAGAUGAGGAGAAGAUCCUAAGGCCAUCGGGAGAAGGGUUGUUAAGGAACUAGGCAAAUUGACCCCGUAACUUCGGGAGAAGGGGUGCCUACGAGAGUAGGUCGCAGAGAAUCGGCCCAAGCAACUGUUUACCAAAAACACAGGUCUCUGCUAAAUCGAAAGAUGACGUAUAGGGGCUGACGCCUGCCCGGUGCUGGAAGGUUAAGAGGAGGACUUAGCGCAAGCGAAGGUCUGAAUUGAAGCCCCAGUAAACGGCGGCCGUAACUAUAACGGUCCUAAGGUAGCGAAAUUCCUUGUCAGGUAAG
RNAcentral lists this ribosomal RNA (1888 nucleotides) under metagenome. Its description in RNAcentral is "bacterial LSU rRNA". It matches the Rfam family "Bacterial large subunit ribosomal RNA", at positions 3 to 1980 of the family's 2925-position model. The record is from RNAcentral.